CUAUAUCCUUGACUGGAGAAGAAAUUUAUUAAAUACUUUUAUCGCACUUCUUAGCCUCAUCUAAGCUUUCCUUUUUUGGGUUUCUUUUAUACUUCAUACUGCUAAACGUAUGCUUACAAGUUAUAAUUUAUUUUUAUCUCACAAUGUACUAAAAUAGGCAUAGCUCAUUCCGCACAAGUAGCAUUGUAAUAAUGUAAAUUAUUUUAAACUAUCACAUGAAUGAAAAUAAAAACCCAUUUCCACAAUCUUUUUACGCAUAAACUUUCUUCAGGUUUUGUUGUCCAUGUAUUUUUAGCUUAACUCUAGAUCUUUGUGCAUAUUCUCAGCCGAAGAAAAUAAUGAAUUGAGAUGACAAAUUUUGUUGUGGCAGACUGGCAGACAAUGCAAAAAAUGUGGAGACAGGCACCACCAUAAACAUAAACUUAAAGUUUCAAACUAUGUCUAAACAGCUGAACCCUAGCCCAUAAACUAUUUAACUUGUUGUACAACGGUAAUACACGGCCUAAUUUUAGAACCCUUUUAAAAAAGCACUGUGUCACACAAAAGAUGGUUAAUGCUGAAUUACGAUGUGCUUUUCAAACAACGGAUUAUUAAUGAAUGCAUCAUUUUUUGAAAAAAUACUCUUGGUGAUACUUUGCAGAAAAGCUAAGUCGUCCGAUGACUUGAGUAAUUGCUCGAGUGACAGGAUGACUAGUGGGUGACAAGUGUUGUCGUUAUGUUAUGUCGCAAGGCGUCUUUCGAGCUGGGAUCGGAGGAGAAAAUAAGAUCGUGUAAUUGUCUUUCGCUCCAUGACAAAAAAAUGAGCCAAGUGUCAAUUUGUAUAAAGUCGGUAUUUCUUUUGGGUGUUUUUCAUCGCUCAUAAAAAUCUUUCUUAAAAAAUGUGCAUCCAAAAUAACCUCAUAUUCUUUGACCUUCACUACCUCUCCACACACCUACACAUCCCACACAGCGAUGGCCCCCCACAACACCGAACUAUUAUCACCGUACAAGUACGUACAUACUUGCCAGUUAAGCAAAUUCCAUUUAUCGCACACAUCACAUACCAUUCUUUUAUCGGCCAACUACUAUAUAGUCUCAUUGCCAAGUCAUUUAACACCGAGAGAGCAGAGCCAAUUUGUUUCCGUCCAGCCGAGACGGUUAAUUACCCGAAUCCAAGUCUGUCUCGGCUUCCACUCCGACAAAAGUGUAAAAUUCCAGUUCCCUUUUUAUAUAUUGUCAAGUAAUUGAUGGUACAGAUUGUGAAACAGUUUUGCGUUACUGCAAGUAUUUCACUAAAGCAAGGGCAAGUGCCAAGUGCCAAGUCUACGCGCGUGCAUGGGCCAUGGGUCAUGGAUGGCAAUUGAUAAUGUGCAGAUUGGCAUGUCAAGGAGGUUAAAACAGGUGUGGGCAACUGGAAAAUAUGACUCGUCAGGUAAGGACUGAAUGCAUAUCUACACAUAUUUAGAAGCAUCAAUUAUUCAUUCGUGG
This is a long non-coding RNA of Folsomia candida, 1467 nucleotides long. RefSeq lists it as uncharacterized. Lineage: Eukaryota; Metazoa; Arthropoda; Collembola; Entomobryomorpha; Isotomidae. The transcript has 3 exons. The record is from RefSeq and is a predicted model, not a curated record.